Ochlerotatus camptorhynchus is the source of this 1307-nucleotide long non-coding RNA. RefSeq lists it as uncharacterized. The record is from RefSeq and is a predicted model, not a curated record. Lineage: Eukaryota; Metazoa; Arthropoda; Insecta; Diptera; Culicidae. The transcript is spliced from 3 exons.
AACAAAAGCAAUUACGCCCAAAUUUCGAAUCACUCCGGAAUUGUGAUCAUAAAAAAUAAUAGCAUCAACUGCUGCGAGAAUAAGGAACGGUGACGACCACGGCUAAGCAAAGAAAACAGAUUUGUGUAACAAGUAAAGAGGAGCUACUGCAGGUGGCUUUUAUCCCUUUGUUGGUCGUUCUUGGUACAUAGUCAGAUUGUAAGGUUACUACGCGGCUCAAUCUUGGGGCUCCGAGGACCAGACGAUGGUGAAAUGCGAUACAACACCCACAAGAGAACAUAUAUUUGUCCUCUGUGAUCUUAGUGAAGCGACGGUCGUUUGUUCGGUGGCGUUUGGAAAUGGGGCAGAAUUGCCGAAAGUGUUUGUGCGAUUAGAUUCUUUCUAAGUGGGUGGGAGUAAAUCGCACGUGUGCUUUCUUAUGUGGUGGAAAAUUUGCACCGAAGAACAAAGUCGACAGUGAAAGCUAAUUCUACAGGAAGCACAGGGCAAAGCAAACAGUUCCCAAGGUGAAGUGUGCACCAGGUUAGUGUAGUCGAAAGUGGACGAGGAAAAGUGAACCCAUUACCCCUAAAAAAAAAGAAAAAGAAGAAAAUGUAAACACGAUGUGCGAAUAAACAGAAGUAGAAAAAAUCGUUCGGAACAGUGGCGGCCGUGGAAAAAGCAAGCAACAGCAGCCGCUGUGGAAAUAGGUAUGAGAAAAUCAUAAACAUUAAAGUUUAAUCAGUCAGUCGGAGCGAGUGACACUAGGAGCGUUGCUUUACAGGGUGUAUUUUGAUACACGUCCUUGUCUCGUUUCGUUUGUUCUUUUGUGCUUUGUACAUUCAAAAAAGUGUCUAUGCCGGUGUCCUGACCGGGGUAGACAUAUAAAGUCGGUUGAUUUGCCAGUAUUGUCUGUGUGGCUGGUAUGUGUUGGGGGUCGAUGGAGAUGGAAGGAGAGUGCUAUCAUCAUAACUCACCCACCACCGCAACUCGUGCAGCCGAAAGCAUUUGCUUGCUCUAGUUUAGUGCGUUCCGUUGCUUUAUAGACGAUCUUGCCAAUUUAGUGCGACGACGGUGAAUCGUGGACGUUUGACACUGAGAGUGCGCUGGAAGUUUGUGUUGACAUUUGUUGAAGAAAACUGAUACCAACUGUGUUUGAACAUCAAGAAAGUCUCGGAAAAGUUGUUUGGUUUGUGCCUGAAAUGUUCCCGGACCAGACUAUUGGAUGUAUUUGAAUAACGAAGCGUACAGAUACACGUUUUGUGGGACUACUGAUUGCUUCGAGUCAAAGGUGAGCUGUCUAUAUAAUAUGCAAUUAAUAUUCUUCU